UACGAACUGUGCGAACGUUAUUCGGAAUCACUGGGCUUAAAGGGUGCGUAGGCGGCGGCUCCAGUCAGGUGUGAAAUCCCCCGGCUCAACCGGGGAACUGCGCUUGAAACUAGGUCGCUGGAGUGAGGCAGGGGUCUGUGGAACUUCCGGUGGAGCGGUGAAAUGUGUAGAGAUCGGAAGGAACGCCGGCGGCGAAAGCGGCAGACUGGGCCUUGACUGACGCUGAGGCACGAAAGCUAGGGGAGUGAACGGG
Molecule: ribosomal RNA, 253 nt
Filed under: uncultured bacterium
Lineage: Bacteria
Description: partial 16S ribosomal RNA
Rfam family: Bacterial small subunit ribosomal RNA
Source: RNAcentral